RNAcentral lists this ribosomal RNA (253 nucleotides) under uncultured bacterium. RNAcentral describes it as "partial 16S ribosomal RNA". It matches the Rfam family "Bacterial small subunit ribosomal RNA", at positions 524 to 776 of the family's 1533-position model. The record is from RNAcentral.
UACGAAGGGUGCAAGCGUUACUCGGAAUUACUGGGCGUAAAGCGUGCGCAGGCGGCGCGUUAAGACAGGUGUGAAAGCCCCGAGCUUAACUUGGGAAUUGCGCUUGUGACUGGCGUGCUGGAGUGUGGCAGAGGGAGGUGGAAUUCCACGUGUAGCAGUGAAAUGCGUAGAGAUGUGGAGGAACACCGAUGGCGAAGGCAGCCUCCUGGGCCAGCACUGACGCUCAUGCACGAAAGCGUGGGGAGCAAACAGG